CGUCAUCAGAUUGGCCGUGGAUCUCAUCCGGUUUGGUUAUAUUUUUUGUCCAUUCUUGACCUCGCGUAACAAGAUUUUGGAAGCGGCUUUUCACGGUCUGAAUCUUCCUCUCCAAUUGCUCACCUACCGUGUUCUUGUUUGCGACUCUUGGCUCCCUGGUUCCAAUAAAUGGCAACACGAUUGGUUCUGUUCCGGAAAAUUUCGUCCUAGGGGCAACAGCCUGAGACUGCUUGAUGGUUGACCCAGCAAUCAAACUUGGACGAGCUUUCGAACCUUUUACCGAAAUAUCAAACCGGACUUUACCACAAAGGAAUCCUUGGAAAGAGAAAGUGGAGGUUUGACCAACUACUCACUGGGAUGGGAACUCUCCUCAGGAGAUGACUGGACAUCAAGUUCAUUGGGACUCCUUGAAUUGGUCUC
Long non-coding RNA from Tigriopus californicus, 420 nucleotides. RefSeq lists it as uncharacterized. The transcript is spliced from 3 exons. The record is from RefSeq and is a predicted model, not a curated record. NCBI's taxonomy places the organism in Eukaryota, Metazoa, Arthropoda, Copepoda, Harpacticoida, Harpacticidae.